RNAcentral lists this ribosomal RNA (303 nucleotides) under uncultured bacterium. RNAcentral describes it as "partial 16S ribosomal RNA". It matches the Rfam family "Bacterial small subunit ribosomal RNA", at positions 507 to 807 of the family's 1533-position model. The record is from RNAcentral.
AGCAGUCGCCGCGGGAAUACGGAGGGUGCAAGCGUUAAUCGGAAUUACUGGGCGUAAAGCGCACGCAGGCGGUCUGACAAGUCAGAUGUGAAAUCCCCGGGCUUAACCUGGGAACUGCAUUUGAAACUGUCAGGCUGGAGUCUUGUAGAGGGGGGUGGAAUUCUAGGUGUAGCGGUGAAAUGCGUAGAGAUCUGGAGGAAUACCGGUGGCGAAGGCGGCCCCCUGGACAAAGACUGACGCUCAGGUGCGAAAGCGUGGGGAGCAAACAGGAUUAGAUACCCCGGUAGUCCCUGUCUCUUAUAC